UAGAGUUUGAUCAUGGCUCAGGAUGAACGCUAGCGGCAGGCUUAACACAUGCAAGUCGAGGGGCAUCGGGAGGGAAGCUUGCUUUCCUUGCCGGCGACCGGCGCACGGGUGAGUAACACGUAUGCAACCUGCCCUCUUCAGGGGGACAACCUUCCGAAAGGGAGGCUAAUCCCGCGUAUAUCGGUUUCGGGCAUCCGGGAUCGAGGAAAGAUUCAUCGGAAGAGGAUGGGCAUGCGGCGCAUUAGCUGGACGGCGGGGUAACGGCCCACCGUGGCGACGAUGCGUAGGGGUUCUGAGAGGAAGGUCCCCCACACUGGUACUGAGACACGGACCAGACUCCUACGGGAGGCAGCAGUGAGGAAUAUUGGUCAAUGGGAGAGAUCCUGAACCAGCCAAGCCGCGUGAGGGAAGACGGCCCUAUGGGUUGUAAACCUCUUUUGUCGGAGAACAAAACCCGGGACGUGUCCCGGACUGCGUGUAUCCGAAGAAAAAGCAUCGGCUAACUCCGUGCCAGCAGCCGCGGUAAUACGGAGGAUGCGAGCGUUAUCCGGAUUUAUUGGGUUUAAAGGGUGCGUAGGCGGUCCGUUAAGUCAGCGGUAAAAUUGCGGGGCUCAACCCCGUCUAGCCGUUGAAACUGGAAGACUUGAGUUGGCAAGAAGUACGCGGAAUGCGCGGUGUAGCGGUGAAAUGCAGAAAUAUCGCGCAUAACUCCGAUUGCGAAGGCAGCGUACCGGCGCCAGACUGACGCUGAGGCACGAAAGCGUGGGGAUCGAACAGGAUUAGAUACCCUGGUAGUCCACGCAGUAAACGAUGAAUGCUGGUUGUCCGGGUCGAAUGAGAUCUGGGCGGCGAAGCGAAAGCGAUAAGCAUUCCACCUGGGGAGUACGCCGGCAACGGUGAAACUCAAAGGAAUUGACGGGGGCCCGCACAAGCGGAGGAACAUGUGGUUUAAUUCGAUGAUACGCGAGGAACCUUACCCGGGCUCAAACGGGAGUGGAAUGGACCAGAGACGGUUCAGCCUACGGGCCGCUUCCGAGGUGCUGCAUGGUUGUCGUCAGCUCGUGCCGUGAGGUGUCGGCUUAAGUGCCAUAACGAGCGCAACCCCCGCCGGCAGUUGCUAACGGGCAAUGCCGAGGACUCUGCCGGGACUGCCGCCGCAAGGCGAGAGGAAGGCGGGGAUGACGUCAAAUCAGCACGGCCCUUACGUCCGGGGCGACACACGUGUUACAAUGGGCGGUACAGCGGGAAGCCAGGCGGCGACGCCGAGCGGAACCCGAAAGCCGUUCUCAGUUCGGAUCGGAGUCUGCAACCCGACUCCGUGAAGCUGGAUUCGCUAGUAAUCGCGCAUCAGCCAUGGCGCGGUGAAUACGUUCCCGGGCCUUGUACACACCGCCCGUCAAGCCAUGGGAGCCGGGGGUGCUUGAAGUGCGUCGCCGCGAGGCGCGCCCUAGAGCAAAACCGGUGACUGGGGCUAAGUCGUAACAAGGUAACCGUA
This 1495-nucleotide ribosomal RNA is filed under the name uncultured bacterium. Its description in RNAcentral is "16S ribosomal RNA". It matches the Rfam family "Bacterial small subunit ribosomal RNA". The record is from RNAcentral.